GAAAUGCGAUAAGUAAUGUGAAUUGCAGAAUUUAGUGAAUCAUCGAAUCUUUGAACGCACAUUGCGCCCUUUGGUAUUCCAGAGGGCAUGCCUGUUCGAGCGUCAUUACAACCUCAAGCUCUGCUUGGUAUUGAGUGUCACCAAGCAUGGUGUACCUAAAAUUCAGUGGCAGUGCCAUCGGCCUCCAGCGGAGUAAUCUUUCUCGCUGAGGAGGUUGGGGUAGGUGCUUGCCAACAAGCCCUAAUUUAUCAAUGGUUGACCUCGGAUCAGGUAGGGAUACCCGCUGAACUUAA
Molecule: unclassified non-coding RNA, 293 nt
Filed under: uncultured Helotiales
Lineage: Eukaryota; Fungi; Ascomycota; Leotiomycetes; Helotiales
Description: sequence contains ITS1
Rfam family: 5.8S ribosomal RNA (bases 1-105)
Source: RNAcentral